GACGUAGGGCGCGAGCGUUGUCCGGAUUUAUUGGGCGUAAAGAGCUCGUAGGCGGCUUGUCGCGUCGUCCGUGAAAACCUGCAGCUCAACUGCAGGCUUGCGGUCGAUACGGGCAGGCUAGAGUUCGGUAGGGGAGACUGGAAUUCCUGGUGUAGCGGUGAAAUGCGCAGAUAUCAGGAGGGACAUCGGUGGCGAAAGCGCUCAUCUGGCCCAAUACUGACGCUGAGGCGCGAAAGCUAGGGGAGCAAACGGG
This 253-nucleotide ribosomal RNA is filed under the name uncultured bacterium. RNAcentral describes it as "partial 16S ribosomal RNA". It matches the Rfam family "Bacterial small subunit ribosomal RNA", at positions 524 to 776 of the family's 1533-position model. The record is from RNAcentral.